RNAcentral lists this transfer RNA (72 nucleotides) under Candidatus Entotheonella factor. RNAcentral describes it as "Candidatus Entotheonella sp. TSY1 tRNA". It matches the Rfam family "tRNA". From Rfam's summary of the family: Transfer RNA (tRNA) molecules are approximately 80 nucleotides in length. Their secondary structure includes four short double-helical elements and three loops (D, anti-codon, and T loops). Further hydrogen bonds mediate the characteristic L-shaped molecular structure. tRNAs have two regions of fundamental functional importance: the anti-codon, which is responsible for specific mRNA codon recognition, and the 3' end, to which the tRNAs corresponding amino acid is attached (by aminoacyl-tRNA synthetases). tRNAs cope with the degeneracy of the genetic code in two manners: having more than one tRNA (with a specific anti-codon) for a particular amino acid; and 'wobble' base-pairing, i.e. permitting non-standard base-pairing at the 3rd anti-codon position. The record is from Rfam by way of RNAcentral. Lineage: Bacteria; Pseudomonadati; Candidatus Tectimicrobiota; Candidatus Entotheonellia; Candidatus Entotheonellales; Candidatus Entotheonellaceae.
GCCCCGUAGGCGUAGCGGUUGCGCAGCGGUCUUGUAAACCGUCAAGGCUAGGUUCGACUCCUAGGCGGGGCU